This 253-nucleotide ribosomal RNA is filed under the name uncultured bacterium. RNAcentral's name for it is "partial 16S ribosomal RNA". It matches the Rfam family "Bacterial small subunit ribosomal RNA", at positions 524 to 776 of the family's 1533-position model. The record is from RNAcentral.
UACGAAGGGGGCUAGCGUUGCUCGGAAUCACUGGGCGUAAAGGGUGCGUAGGCGGGUCUUUAAGUCAGGGGUGAAAUCCUGGAGCUCAACUCCAGAACUGCCUUUGAUACUGAGGAUCUUGAGUACGGGAGAGGUGAGUGGAACUGCGAGUGUAGAGGUGAAAUUCGUAGAUAUUCGCAAGAACACCAGUGGCGAAGGCGGCUCACUGGCCCGUUACUGACGCUGAGGCACGAAAGCUAGGGGAGCGAACGGG